UCCCAAGCGCUCUGAAAGGGUGCACCAGUU
This 30-nucleotide non-coding RNA is filed under the name Homo sapiens (human). The record is from RNAcentral. Lineage: Eukaryota; Metazoa; Chordata; Mammalia; Primates; Hominidae.